UACGAAGGGGGCUAGCGUUGCUCGGAAUGACUGGGCGUAAAGGGCGCGUAGGCGGCUUGCACAGUCAGGCGUGAAAUUCCUGGGCUCAACCUGGGGACUGCGCUUGAGACGUGUGGGCUUGAGUGGGGAAGAGGGUCGUGGAAUUCCCAGUGUAGAGGUGAAACUCGUAGAUAUUGGGAAGAACACCGGUGGCGAAGGCGGCGACCUGGUCCUUGACUGACGCUGAGGCGCGAAAGCGUGGGGAGCAAACAGG
Molecule: ribosomal RNA, 253 nt
Filed under: uncultured bacterium
Lineage: Bacteria
Description: partial 16S ribosomal RNA
Rfam family: Bacterial small subunit ribosomal RNA
Source: RNAcentral